RNAcentral lists this ribosomal RNA (253 nucleotides) under uncultured bacterium. Its description in RNAcentral is "partial 16S ribosomal RNA". It matches the Rfam family "Bacterial small subunit ribosomal RNA", at positions 524 to 776 of the family's 1533-position model. The record is from RNAcentral.
UACAGAGGGUGCGAGCGUUGUCCGGAAUCACUGGGCGUAAAGGGCGCGUAGGCGGCUUGAUAGGCGUGCGGUGAAAGCCCGGGGCUCAACCCCGGGUCGGCCGUGCGAACUGUCGAGCUGGAGCACUGUAGAGGCAGGUGGAAUUCCGGGUGUAGCGGUGGAAUGCGUAGAGAUCCGGAAGAACACCGGUGGCGAAGGCGGCCUGCUGGGCAGUGGCUGACGCUGAGGCGCGACAGCGUGGGGAGCAAACAGG